UUAAAAAUAAGCUAAACAUAAUAAGCUUUUGGGUUCAUACCCCAAAUAUAAAGAUAACUUUUUUCUAAA
RNAcentral lists this transfer RNA (69 nucleotides) under Stathmopoda auriferella. RNAcentral describes it as "tRNA-Met". The record is from RNAcentral. Lineage: Eukaryota; Metazoa; Arthropoda; Insecta; Lepidoptera; Oecophoridae.